Molecule: ribosomal RNA, 253 nt
Filed under: uncultured bacterium
Lineage: Bacteria
Description: partial 16S ribosomal RNA
Rfam family: Bacterial small subunit ribosomal RNA
Source: RNAcentral
UACGUAGGGUGCAAGCGUUGUCCGGAAUUAUUGGGCGUAAAGAGCUCGUAGGCGGUCUGUCGCGUCGGCUGUGAAAACUCGGGGCUCAACUCCGAGCUUGCAGUCGAUACGGGCAGACUAGAGGUAUGCAGGGGAGAACGGAAUUCCUGGUGUAGCGGUGAAAUGCGCAGAUAUCAGGAGGAACACCGGUGGCGAAGGCGGUUCUCUGGGCAUUACCUGACGCUGAGGAGCGAAAGUGUGGGGAGCGAACAGG